GACAGAGGAGGCGAGCGUUAUCCGGAGUUAUUGGGCGUAAAGGGUACGUAGGCGGCUAGUCAAGUCUGGGGUUAAAGACCGCAGCUUAACUGUGGAGGGGCCUUGGAAACUGACAGGCUGGAGAGGGGCAGGGGUUGCCGGAAUUCCCGGUGUAGCGGUGAAAUGCGUAGAUAUCGGGAAGAACACCUGAGGCGAAAGCGCGCAACUGGGCCCUAUCUGACGCUGAGGCACGAAAGCGUGGGGAGCGAAUGGG
This 253-nucleotide ribosomal RNA is filed under the name uncultured bacterium. Its description in RNAcentral is "partial 16S ribosomal RNA". It matches the Rfam family "Bacterial small subunit ribosomal RNA", at positions 524 to 776 of the family's 1533-position model. The record is from RNAcentral.